This is a long non-coding RNA of Sarcophilus harrisii (Tasmanian devil), 724 nucleotides long. RefSeq lists it as uncharacterized. The transcript is spliced from 3 exons. The record is from RefSeq and is a predicted model, not a curated record. NCBI's taxonomy places the organism in Eukaryota, Metazoa, Chordata, Mammalia, Dasyuromorphia, Dasyuridae.
GGCAACUCCAAGGCCUUAUAAAGACUAAGCUGAUUAGGGAUGGCUUCCUUUUUUGUGACUAAGAAAAGAUUUCUGACCAUAACUCUGAGAAGACUGGGAGCAAAUUACCCAGAGAAGCACAUGUUGCUAUGUGAGAUUCAGCAGAAAGAAACAAGGAGGGAUGGGGAGCCACUAGAGUUUAUGGAAGAAGACCAUGCGGUCAGACCCAUGCUUUAAGAACAACAAAAUGACAGAAGCGGUGACAAGAGAAUGGAUUGGAGUGCAUCGUGAUGGUCCGGGCCUAGGGUUCUGCCCCAGAGUGCUGACACUGUCAGAGGAGAGAAGGAACAUUUCCAAGAGCAGUUACCAAGGCGGAGCCCCCAUGCACCAGACUGGAUGGAGGAGAGUGUGUGAGGAGGAAGGCUGAUGCCUGGGGGGCGUUGGGAGGCCUGGUGAUGCUCUGGACUGUGAAAGGAAAGGAACAGGGAAAUGGAAAGAAGGGGAGACUGUAGGAGGGAAGUCCAUGGGAGGACUUCUCCUAAAGAGGGCUACUGGUUAGCAAUGGAAUUAGAGGGAGGUUUGUUCAGGCUCCAUUGGAUUAGAUGGUGCUUUUAGACACUUUUAAGUGUGACACAUUGUGAUCUUUUAAUAUCUUCAUCUUAAAAUCUUUUUCUUCACCCAAAGACCUGUAUAUGAAUGAGGGAGACAGGAACAAAUAAAACGCUGAGAUGCUGGGCUAAAUUUC